GCGCGAAAACUCCACAAUGUGCGAAAGCAUGAUGGGGUUAACCCGAGUGCCAUCCGAUGAGGACGGCUUUUCUUCAGUUUUAAGGAUCUGGAGGAAUAAAGGGGGGCAAGACUGGUGUCAGCCGCCGCGGUAAUACCAGCCCCCUGAGUGGUAGGGACGAUUAUUUGGCCUAAAGCGUCCGUAGCCUGUUUGGUAAGUCUUUCGUUAAAUCCGACGAUUCCAUCGUUGGGCCGCGGAAGAGACUGCCAGACUUGAGGACGGGAGAGGUCGACGGUAGUCCCAGGGUAGGGGUGAAAUCCUAUAAUCCUGGGAGGACCACCAGUGGCGAAGGCGGUCGACUAGAACGUGCCUGACGGUGAUGGACGAAAGCUGGGGGAGCGAACCGGAUUAGACACCCGGGUAGUCCCAGCUGUAAACGAUGCGAGCUAGGUGUUGGAGCAACUACGAGUUGCUCCAGUGCCGCAG
Molecule: ribosomal RNA, 465 nt
Filed under: uncultured archaeon
Lineage: Archaea
Description: bacterial SSU rRNA
Rfam family: Archaeal small subunit ribosomal RNA
Source: RNAcentral